GUCUACAGCCAUGAUCGGAACAAACCCGAUCCCCUCUAAUCUCGGAAGCUAAGCAGGGUCCUGUGUGGUUAGUACUUGGAUGGAAGACCACCUAGGAAGACCAGGUGUUGUAGGUG
RNAcentral lists this ribosomal RNA (116 nucleotides) under Pteropus alecto (black flying fox). Lineage: Eukaryota; Metazoa; Chordata; Mammalia; Chiroptera; Pteropodidae. The record is from RNAcentral.